Molecule: ribosomal RNA, 352 nt
Filed under: uncultured bacterium
Lineage: Bacteria
Description: bacterial SSU rRNA
Rfam family: Bacterial small subunit ribosomal RNA
Source: RNAcentral
AGAGUUUGAUCAUGGCUCAGGAUGAACGCUAGCUACAGGCUUAACACAUGCAAGUCGAGGGGAAACGACAUCGAAAGCUUGCUUUUGAUGGGCGUCGACCGGCGCACGGGUGAGUAACGCGUAUCCAACCUGCCCAUCACUUGGGGAUAACCUUGCGAAAGUAAGACUAAUACCCAAUGACGUCUCUAGAAGACAUCUGAAAGAGAUUAAAGAUUUAUCGGUGAUGGAUGGGGAUGCGUCUGAUUAGCUUGUUGGCGGGGUAACGGCCACCAAGGCGACGAUCAGUAGGGGUUCUGAGAGGAGGGUCCCCCANAUUGGAACUGAGACAACGGUCCAAACUCCUACGGGAGCA